CCUACGGGAGGCAGCAGUGAGGAAUAUUGGUCAAUGGGCGCAAGCCUGAACCAGCCAAGUCGCGUGAAGGAAGACUGCCCUACGGGUUGUAAACUUCUUUUAUAAGGGAAUAAAGUGAGGCACGUGUGCCUUUUUGUAUGUACUUUAUGAAUAAGGAUCGGCUAACUCCGUGCCAGCAGCCGCGGUAAUACGGAGGAUCCGAGCGUUAUCCGGAUUUAUUGGGUUUAAAGGGAGCGUAGAUGGGUUGUUAAGUCAGUUGUGAAAGUUUGCGGCUCAACCGUAAAAUUGCAAUUGAUACUGGCAGCCUUGAGUGCAGGUGAGGUAGGCGGAAUGCGUGGUGUAGCGGUGAAAUGCUUAGAUAUCACGCAGAACUCCGAUUGCGAAGGCAGCAUACCAAGCUGCCACUGACGUUGAGGCACGAAAGUGUGGGUAUCAAACAGGAUUAGAUACCCUGGUAGUC
RNAcentral lists this ribosomal RNA (460 nucleotides) under uncultured bacterium. RNAcentral's name for it is "partial 16S ribosomal RNA". It matches the Rfam family "Bacterial small subunit ribosomal RNA", at positions 338 to 795 of the family's 1533-position model. The record is from RNAcentral.